This 433-nucleotide ribosomal RNA is filed under the name uncultured bacterium. Its description in RNAcentral is "partial 16S ribosomal RNA". It matches the Rfam family "Bacterial small subunit ribosomal RNA", at positions 29 to 507 of the family's 1533-position model. The record is from RNAcentral.
AACGAACGCUGGCGGCAUGCCUAACACAUGCAAGUCGAACGAGACCUUCGGGUCUAGUGGCGCACGGGUGCGUAACGCGUGGGAAUCUGCCCUUGGGUUCGGAAUAACAGUUGGAAACGACAGCUAAUACCGGAUGAUGACGUAAGUCCAAAGAUUUAUCGCCCAAGGAUGAGCCCGCGUAGGAUUAGCUAGUUGGUGAGGUAAAGGCUCACCAAGGCGACGAUCCUUAGCUGGUCUGAGAGGAUGAUCAGCCACACUGGGACUGAGACACGGCCCAGACUCCUACGGGAGGCAGCAGUGGGGAAUAUUGGACAAUGGGCGAAAGCCUGAUCCAGCAAUGCCGCGUGAGUGAUGAAGGCCUUAGGGUUGUAAAGCUCUUUUACCCGGGAUGAUAAUGACAGUACCGGGAGAAUAAGCGCCGGCUAACUCCGUG